GACGAACGCUGGCGGCGUGCCUAAUACAUGCAAGUCGAACGCAGUGGGGACGGGUAAGUAACACGUGGUUAACCUCCCAUCAGAUGGGAUAACACUUGGAAACAGGUGCUAAACCGAUACUGAUUGAUGUACCCGCGGUGCAUUAGCUAGUUUGUGAGGUAACGGCUCACCAAGGCGACGAUGCAUGGCGGACCGGAGAGGGUGAGCGGACACACUGGGACUGAGACACGGCCCAGACUCCUACGGGAGGGAGCAGUGGGGAAUCUUCGGCAAUGGACGAAAGUCGGACCGAGCAAAGCCGCGUGAGUGAAGAAGGUUUUCGGAUCGUAAAACUCUGUUGUUAGAGAAGCGGUAUCUAACCAGAAAGCCACGGCUAACUACGUGCCAGCAGCCGCGGUAAUAC
RNAcentral lists this ribosomal RNA (403 nucleotides) under uncultured bacterium. RNAcentral's name for it is "partial 16S ribosomal RNA". It matches the Rfam family "Bacterial small subunit ribosomal RNA", at positions 28 to 526 of the family's 1533-position model. The record is from RNAcentral.